CGUAGGGUGCGAGCGUUAAUCGGAAUUACUGGGCGUAAAGCGUGCGCAGGCGGUUUAGUAAGACAGGCGUGAAAUCCCCGGGCUCAACCUGGGAACUGCGCUUGUGACUGCUAAGCUAGAGUACGGCAGAGGGGGUGGAAUUCCACGUGUAGCAGUGAAAUGCGUAGAGAUGUGGAGGAACACCAAUGGCGAAGGCAGCCCCCUGGGUCGAUACUGACGCUCAUGCACGAAAGCGUGGGUAGCAAACAGGAUUAGAUACCCUGGUAGUCCACGCCCCAAACGAUGUCAACUAGGUGUUGGGAGGGUAAAACCUUUUAGUACCGGAGCUAACGCGUGAAGUUGACCGCCUGGGGAGUACGGCCGCAAGGUUA
RNAcentral lists this ribosomal RNA (371 nucleotides) under uncultured organism. Its description in RNAcentral is "bacterial SSU rRNA". It matches the Rfam family "Bacterial small subunit ribosomal RNA", at positions 526 to 896 of the family's 1533-position model. The record is from RNAcentral.